CAGAUAAGAAGUGUAAUUUGCACAGCUGAUUUUCAUUCAGUUAGUAUGCUAAAGCAUCUAUCUGA
Molecule: transfer RNA, 65 nt
Filed under: Acanthochitona avicula
Lineage: Eukaryota; Metazoa; Mollusca; Polyplacophora; Chitonida; Acanthochitonidae
Description: tRNA-Glu
Source: RNAcentral